Molecule: ribosomal RNA, 521 nt
Filed under: uncultured bacterium
Lineage: Bacteria
Description: bacterial SSU rRNA
Rfam family: Bacterial small subunit ribosomal RNA
Source: RNAcentral
AGAGUUUGAUCCUGGCUCAGAUUGAACGCUGGCGGCAUGCUUUACACAUGCAAGUCGAACGGCAGCACGGGGGCAACCCUGGUGGCGAGUGGCGGACGGGUGAGUAAUGCAUCGGAACGUGCCUAGUAGUGGGGGAUAACGCGUCGAAAGAUGUGCUAAUACCGCAUAAGCACUAUGGUGGAAAGCGGGGGAUCGCAAGACCUCGCGCUAUUAGAGCGGCCGAUGUCCGAUUAGCUAGUUGGUGAGGUAAAGGCCCACCAAGGCAACGAUCGGUAGCUGGUCUGAGAGGAUGAUCAGCCACACUGGGACUGAGACACGGCCCAGACUCCUACGGGAGGCAGCAGUGGGGAAUUUUGGACAAUGGGCGAAAGCCUGAUCCAGCCAUGCCGCGUGAGUGAAGAAGGCCUUCGGGUUGUAAAGCUCUUUCAGCCGGAACGAAAUCGUCCGGGCUAAUACUCCGGACGGAUGACGGUACUGGAAGAAGAAGCACCGGCUAACUACGUGCCAGCAGCCGCGGUAAU